This 421-nucleotide ribosomal RNA is filed under the name uncultured eukaryote. RNAcentral describes it as "SSU rRNA". It matches the Rfam family "Eukaryotic small subunit ribosomal RNA", at positions 567 to 990 of the family's 1831-position model. The record is from RNAcentral.
CCAGCAGCCGCGGUAAUUCCAGCUCCAAUAGCGUAUAUUAAUGUUGUUGCAGUUAAAAAGCUCGUAGUUGGAUUUCUGCGCCGCGCAACUGGGUCCGCCGCACUGCGGUGUGACUGGGUUGGAGCGUCGCAUCCUUGUGGAGACUGUUUCUGGCAUUAACUUGUCUUGAUUCAGGAACCGCAUCGUUUACUGUGAAAAAAUUAGAGUGUUCAAAGCAGGCUUAUGCCGUGAAUACAUUAGCAUGGAAUAAUAAGAUAGGACUUUGGUUCUAUUUUGUUGGUUGGAGGCCAAGGUAAUGAUUAAUAGGGAUAGUUGGGGGUAUUCAUAUUUAAUUGUCAGAGGUGAAAUUCUUGGAUUUAUGAAAGAUGAACUUAUGCGAAAGCAUUUACCAAGGAUGUUUUCAUUAAUCAAGAACGAAAGU